Molecule: long non-coding RNA, 1225 nt
Organism: Cucumis melo (muskmelon)
Lineage: Eukaryota; Viridiplantae; Streptophyta; Magnoliopsida; Cucurbitales; Cucurbitaceae
Exons: 3
Source: RefSeq, a predicted model, not a curated record
UAUUGUAAUUGAUAUCAAAGGGCUUAUGUUCUAACCUAUCAAAUAUAAUCUUAUCUUUUAGUUUCUACAUUUAAUUUCUACUUGAGCAAUUGGUAUUAGAGCUAUUCAAUAAAAGUUCAAUUGAUCACAAAGUUUUUCUCUUGGGGGAGAAGGGAUUGAGAUAAUUUAUACUCCAUUCUUAUAAAUCCAGCCAUCGUCUUGGAUUUUGAUAGUUUGUUCGUGCAUGCACCCUUGGUUUUGUAUCGUUCAGAUCUGCCCUCAUGACUACCAUAUUAGUCUCAUCUGCUUGUCAUCGUUCAAUUGGCCAUUGUUCAUUCAUCGUCAAUGCAGAAUUUCUGAAAGGAAAGCUUAGCAAGGAAGAAGAAGAAGUUUUCUGGGUUCUGAGGUUGAAGAAGAAGGGGAAAAACUCAAUCGAAGUUGCAUCCAUGACAGAUUUUGACACACACUGCAUACUUCCAGUUUUCAAUUCGGUUUAAUCUACUCAAUAAGAACUAAGAGGCUAAGAAGAAUUAAAUCGAGCUUACAAACCAAGGAUCUAGCUCAACAAUGUGAGUGACAAAACUAGUUUUGAAAACAUUUUUCAUAACUGUUAUUUAUGAUUAAAUGCUUUACACAUUUAUUUACGAAGCUAUGAAAUUAUUUGAAUUCCAUGACUAUUUUCAAGUAUAAGUUUCGAGACUAGAUUUCUUAAUGAAAAUUUAUGCUAGCACGUGAAUAUUGAAUCUCUGGAAAGUAUUUGAACCACAAAGUUCUAAGCAAAGCAUGAAUUAGCAAGUUUUGUUUUAAGAACUAUAGUUUUUCACGAACGAACUCAGUAAAUUUUGAGCUUUAUGCAAGAUAAAGAUAAGCAAGCAUGUUUAAUAUUUUAGAUGAUUUAUGGAAAUUUUCAUUGACUACAUGACUGAGAUCUUGAGCCUGAGACUAGAGGAUACCGUGUGUACACAAGUUAUUUUUCGUUGUUGAUGUUAAGUAUACUUCAUGACAACAAUGCUGUCGUGAGUGCUGGACGAGCCCCCACUACGAUAAAGAUGAUGGAAGUGAUGGACGGGUCCCACUACAUCGUAGAGUUAAUAAACGUUGAUUAUACUAGGCGUACCCUAUACAAGGUAGUGAUGUCAUGUUAGUUAUAAAUGUGUUGCUAGAUUUUAUAAAUGUAUAUAUUUAACAUUUUAAGAAGUUGUUCUCAUAAAAUAUUUAUGGUUAAUACUUUGCUUAUAUUUUUAAA